GAUGAACGCUAGCUACAGGCUUAGCACAUGCAAGUCGAGGGGAAACGGCAUUAAGUGCUUGCACUUUUUGGACGUCGGCCGGCGCACGGGUGAGUAACGCGUAUCCAACCUUCCCAUGACUAAGGGAUAACCUGCCGAAAGGCAGACUAAUACCUUAUGGUCUUCACUGACGGCAUCAGAUGUGAAGUAAAGAUUUAUCGGUUAUGGAUGGGGAUGCGUCUGAUUAGCUUGUCGGCGGGGUAACGGCCCACCAAGGCAACGAUCAGUAGGGGUUCUGAGAGGAAGGUCCCCCACAUUGGAACUGAGACACGGUCCAAACUCCUACGGGAGGCAGCAGUGAGGAAUAUUGGUCAAUGGGCGAGAGCCUGAACCAGCCAAGUAGCGUGCAGGAUGACGGCCCUAUGGGUUGUAAACUGCUUUUGUAUGGGGAUAAAGUCAAUCACGUGUGAUUGUUUGCAGGUACCAUACGAAUAAGGACCGGCUAAUUCCGUGCCAGCAGCCGCGGUAAUACGGAAGGUCCGGGCGUUAUCCGGAUUUAUUGGGUUUAAAGGGAGCGUAGGCUGGAGAUUAAGUGUGUUGUGAAAUGUAGACGCUCAACGUCUGACUUGCAGCGCAUACUGGUUUCCUUGAGUACGCACAACGUUGGCGGAAUUCGUCGUGUAGCGGUGAAAUGCUUAGAUAUGACGAAGAACUCCGAUUGCGAAGGCAGCUGACGGGAGCGCAACUGACGCUGAAGCUCGAAGGUGCGGGUAUCGAACAGG
Molecule: ribosomal RNA, 761 nt
Filed under: Prevotella melaninogenica
Lineage: Bacteria; Pseudomonadati; Bacteroidota; Bacteroidia; Bacteroidales; Prevotellaceae
Description: bacterial SSU rRNA
Rfam family: Bacterial small subunit ribosomal RNA
Source: RNAcentral